GAGGGUAUAGUUCAAGUGGUAGAGCGCACGCUUAGCAUGCAUGAGGUCCUAGGUUCAAUCCCCAGUGACUCCU
RNAcentral lists this transfer RNA (73 nucleotides) under Camelus bactrianus (Bactrian camel). It matches the Rfam family "tRNA". From Rfam's summary of the family: Transfer RNA (tRNA) molecules are approximately 80 nucleotides in length. Their secondary structure includes four short double-helical elements and three loops (D, anti-codon, and T loops). Further hydrogen bonds mediate the characteristic L-shaped molecular structure. tRNAs have two regions of fundamental functional importance: the anti-codon, which is responsible for specific mRNA codon recognition, and the 3' end, to which the tRNAs corresponding amino acid is attached (by aminoacyl-tRNA synthetases). tRNAs cope with the degeneracy of the genetic code in two manners: having more than one tRNA (with a specific anti-codon) for a particular amino acid; and 'wobble' base-pairing, i.e. permitting non-standard base-pairing at the 3rd anti-codon position. RNAcentral also lists the same sequence under 1 other name. Lineage: Eukaryota; Metazoa; Chordata; Mammalia; Artiodactyla; Camelidae. The record is from Rfam by way of RNAcentral.